Molecule: long non-coding RNA, 1473 nt
Organism: Triticum dicoccoides
Lineage: Eukaryota; Viridiplantae; Streptophyta; Magnoliopsida; Poales; Poaceae
Exons: 2
Source: RefSeq, a predicted model, not a curated record
AAAAAAACAUCCCCGCCCAAUCCCCUGGCGCAUCCCCGACCCAAUCCCCACCUUCCCCGCUGGGUUGCCACCCACCGGAUCUGCUGCCCACCGGCGUGUGCUGCCGGCAACCGGAGCCGCCGCCCACACCCCCUGAUCUUUCGUAGCCGAACCACCUCCCCGGGUCCCCACGCCGCCGCACGCCCUCCCCGGAGAACCCCAUCGUCGCACCCCCAUCCUCAUCCUCACCACCAACCACCGCCCAUGGCCUUCCCGACCUCCAACCACCACGCCGCUGGCCCAACAUCCGACCACCGCCGUGGGCGCAUCCAUUCCCAGGGACGCAGGUGCGGCAGAGCGCCGCCCGUCCAUCCUACGACGCCGUCUCCGCCCCCAUAAGGAAACCGUGCCGCCGCCGCCCCCAAUGUCCCACGCCCGCAAAUUCCAUGGUACCACCGUCACAACCACUCUCGCCUGCCGGUGUCGAGAAUGGAUGCGGCCGCCCUUGCACACUGCCCUCAUGCUGCUGCUGGCCGGCCCUCAUACGCAUACACGACCUCUGCCGGAGCUCCUGCAGCCGCUGUCACCGCCCUACCAUCUGCUCGCGACCGCGGCCCCUCCGUCCUCCUCUCAGGAGGCCGUUGGUAACCCAUGGUAUGCUGUAGGAACAAAGUGAGGGAGUGCGAAUGCAUUCAUCUUAGCUAGCUUCAGCAAAGGAAGUUGUCCAUGCAGUCACCCGAUUACCCUAGGAACAUAGGAUGCUCACCAUUGCUUUGCUAUGGUAUUGGUGGCAAGAAAGAAAUCGUGGAAAUCAUGGUGAAUGCAGAGCCACAACGGAGGAGUUCCAAUAUGAUAUUCGGUUUCAUGUGAAUGAAUGGAAGGAGUUCGUUGAUAGCAAGCCUGCAGUCCUUAAUACCACUGUCGACUGCUCUUGGGUGCCACCACCGCUUAACACAAUGAAGAUUAAUAUUGAUGGUGCUUAUUCAGCACAAGCUGGGGGUGGCGGAUGGGGACUGAUAUGUAGAGAUGCUACCCGAGAGAUACUAUUUGCUGUUGGUGGUUCAUCCUCAGCCAUGGCCAGUGCCCUUCAUGCUGAGACGACAGCCCUGCUAACAAGCUGUGUCAAUCUUGCUGAUCAAAUAGGUGUGGGGAGAGUUGAGUUUGAGACCGAUUAUCUAGUACUGAACAAGCUGUGUCUAUUGAUAUUGAUGAUCGGUCUUCUCUUGGACAAGCCUUUAGAGAACUCAAGUUUAGGCUUGCUACAUGUUUUAUCCAAGCUAGUGUAGUGCAUACACCACGUGAGUGUAACAAGCCAGCGCAUGUGUUGGCAGCGUUCGGUUCGGGUCUAGCUCAUGUUGAAAGCCGCCAGUGGCCGUCAAACUAUCCUGAUGAUGUAACCCGUGCUAUAACCGGCGAUUUAGCCGCAUGUUAAUGGAAUACGAGUGUUCCAUAUCAAAAAAAAUAUACAGGAAUGCUAAGCUAUGGCCCCGCUUC